GGCAGACAGGGAAUGAGGAUCACAUCAAACCAGGUGCAAGCUGCAGGAGUUUCUCUUCAAGUUUCUGACACUCCUCAGUGAUACAGGAAAUCUUCCAAUAGAUUGAACUUACACAAGCAUCGGAAUGGAAUGUAUUGACCACUUCAUCCUGCUUCGCAACAGCUGUUGGUGGAUUUGCCUGCAAUUACCCAUUGAAAACAAAAUAAAACAUUAGUAGAAAUAAGAUGUCA
Coturnix japonica (Japanese quail) is the source of this 230-nucleotide long non-coding RNA. RefSeq lists it as uncharacterized. The record is from RefSeq and is a predicted model, not a curated record. Lineage: Eukaryota; Metazoa; Chordata; Aves; Galliformes; Phasianidae.